CUUCACUGGGGCAUGAAUCAGCCACUCCAUGGAUACUGCGAGUCAUGGAAUGAAACACUGCAGCAUUGUUGGGCUGUGUUGGAAUUUCUUGCACUGGAGAUGAGGGGGAUAAUAACCGUAGAUGAAUCCAGGCAGGGUCUUGUCUCCAGGUGAACAAAUGGUGGGGCCUAAGCCAAGGGAAAAGAGAUUACAUCACAGAAGCUAUGAUGGUGCUGCAGGACCCAUGAAUACAUUACACCACCACAUAUAUGCACAGCAGAGAGGUUCAGAUCAGAGUCUGCAAACAACAGCGAUGGACGAGGCCAAAACACAUCGGAUCUUCAACUGUUUUAUGGUUGAAUGGCU
Poecilia reticulata (guppy) is the source of this 345-nucleotide long non-coding RNA. RefSeq lists it as uncharacterized. The record is from RefSeq and is a predicted model, not a curated record. NCBI's taxonomy places the organism in Eukaryota, Metazoa, Chordata, Actinopteri, Cyprinodontiformes, Poeciliidae.